AAAAUGAGUAGAAAUUACUAAUUCACUAUCAAUAUAGUCUGACAAUAGGACUGAUAACCUAGAGACCAUAUUAAGCAUACAAUUAAAUUCUGCGGUUUGAUUAGUGUCUAAGAGUGUACAUUUUUCUCUUGGAUCUGAGUUUGUAGAGCUUCGGUUAUUACUGAAACAAUAAAAUCACUUGUUUCCAGACAUGUGGGGAAAAUGGCCUCAAAGCUUAAAAAAUAACUAAUUUGGGGUCAAGAUUCAGUGUUUAUUUUAAAAGAUAGAAAUCUUAAAUUUCAAUUCAAAUCAUCGAAAUUAAUUUAUAUAUAUAUGAAUCAUGGAAAUGAUAAAUAAUGCAACUUAUUCCCAGUAGGUCUAUUUCAACUUUCUUACUUACAUUUGUCAAAACUGAGGCAGACAUUAGUAGAGACUCAUAUUGCAAUUGUGCAAGGAACACAAUGAUUUUCUGCCUUAGAGCAGACCAAAUGGAACCCCAGAAUUUAUCCUAAUUUGUUCCGUAAAUAAUUGAGGGGAUUAGGAGUUCCCGUCACGGCUCAGUGGAAACAAAUAUACCUAGCAUCUAUGAGGAUACAGGUUUGAUCCCUGGCUUUGCUCAUUGGGUUAAGGAUCUGGGGUUGCAGUGGGCUGUGGUGUAUAGUGUAGGUCACAGAUGCGGCUUGGAUCCUGUGUUGCUGUGGCUGUGGUGUAGGCCAGCAGCUGCAGCUGUGAUUUGACCCCUUAGCCUAGGAACCUUCAUAUGCCUCAGGUGUGGCCCUCAAAAGACAAAAACAAAAAACAAGCAAAAAAAAGAAUUUGGGGGAUUAAACAACAAGGAUUUAUUGCAUAGCAUAGGAAACUAAAUUCAAUACCUAAUAUCUUAUAAUAACCUAUAAUGGAAAAGAAUCGAAAAAAAGAAUACGUGUGUGUGUGUAUGUGUGCGUAUGUAUUAUGCUGAAUCAAUUUGCUCUACACCUGAAACUAACACAAUAUUGUAAAUCAACUAUACUUCAGUUUUAAAAAGUAGCAUAUUUUUUAAAAAUUUGAGGGAAUUGAGACAAAUACUUUGGCUAUAUGGGGUUGAUAGUAACAGAGCAGAAGAAUUUCUCAAACAUGUGGCCAAACUCCAUGCAGAGGAAUGGGGAAUGGGUCCCUGGUGGAGGCAGGCUGUAGGUAAAGAGGUCUUUCCUUGCAGAAGCAAAGUUCUUUGUCUCUUAUCCAAGAUUCUAGGGUGGAAUUACACAGUCUGGGAAGGAUGUUAGUGGUACUCUAGCUCUCACAGGGGGAGGGGCAAGAUGGCUACACAGAUUGAGGGAAGUGCAACUUUGAAUAGCUCCAUUUGUUUAGAGAAGACCCACUCUCAGCCCAUGUGGUCUAGAUCGGCUGAUGUCAUUAUUAGUUUCUGGGAUGGGCCCUUAUUGGUCUACAUCAAUGACCAUAUUCUGUCCCCCUGCUCAUGGUUUAGGGGUGAAAAUAAGACCCAAACAAUGAGGUUUUUUAUGAAUUUCAUGAAGAAAGGUACUUUUUUCUCCUAGACUCCAGUAAGAGAAUAUGUGAAGAAGAGUUGCAGCCACUUUGCUCUAGAUUUUGAACACAAUGUCUGUACUGAGGACUUUGGAGCCAAGAACUGGAGAGAGAAGUCAGAUCCUGGUGACAUUGUUAUAGUUCUGGCAUCAGGCUUUGCUGAGAUAGAAGUAAUGUGCUGUGGAGCAGUAAUAUUAGUGAGAGGAAAAGGGAAGAAGCAGGAUUGGGCCAGGGGACUAUCGGAUAGUUCUCACAGCACUAAUGGAUUAAUUUCUUAAUUGAGUAUUUCAGGCUUUCAGACAUGCAGUUGGCCUCACUACCUUAGAAGUGUGCUUGUCUUAAGCCUAUCAUUAAGAGGGCUGCUGCCCAUUUAUUUGUCUUAUUUGUGAGGGCAGCUCUAUUUCCAAAUUCUCUUUCAUUCUGUCUAGCCCUUAAUUUCAUAUCUCUCCAGUGAGACAAAUUAUUUGAUAGAAGUUAUAAAUACCGACUAAAGGAAGCAGAACUGAGAAAAAGAAAUGUCAAGUCGCUUAUUUCCGUGGGUCUCAGUUUCCUUUCUUGACAAAUGAGAGGGUGGGUCAGGUUAUGUCUAAGGUCCUUCCAGCCCUUAGAUUGUGAAAGCAAUUUUGACAUAAUGAUUUCAAUUUCAAGUCCAUGUUCGAAGAAUACAGGUUAGUGAUAUGAGAGUUAAUGAAACUAAUAUGGAAUUAAAAGAAGAACCAAUUAAAAUUGGAUUUCAAGGGCCAAGAAUACUAUGGAAUACACUUGCAAGAGGAAGCCGGAGUUGGAAACAGUGUGGGAAAAAUGAAGAAUAGAAUGAUAGUUUAUUCUGGUUCUCUGGCGAGAAACAUAUGUUUCAAUAGAAAAACAGAGGAGGUAAGAAUAAUUAAUUCAUUUAUUCCAUUAGGUAUGUGUUGGGAAUCCUUUAUAUGCUAGACCAGUACAGUAGGCGUUAGAGAUACAUAGCUAUAAAAGACAUAUCAUCCCUUUCCUUGAGAAGCCAAUAAUCCAUCAUGGAGACAUAUUAACAGAUAAAUACCAUAGUCUAACAAGUGCUUCAUUGAAAUAGAAAAGUCACAAAUGGGAGGUCAAAACGAUCAUUAUGUUAUAACGCAGAUUUGUAGAGGAGUUUGUAUCAAAGACAACACUAUUUUAACUCUAUAACUAGACUUUCUUUACAGUUUCUUUGAUGAGUUAUUCACACACUACAUUUAUAAUGCCUAAAUAGAAUUUUUAUGAUUAAAUUAUUUAUUAAUUUAACAAAAUACAUGCAAUGCCAAAUUUUAAAUUUAGGACCAAAUUUUACUCUUUUUUUUUGGUGGGGGGAAGAUGGGAAGAGGGAGAUAAAGCUCUUAAAAAUUAAAUCUAGUGAUUGCUAGAACAAUCUUUACCAAGCUCAGCCAAUAGCUUGUUAUACUCUAAAUAUAACUUGUCAUUUUGUGACAAAAUCCAAUUUUUAGAUUAACUGAAAAUCCAUUUUAAUUUUCAAUUGUUUAGUAUACCUGAAAACCAAAAAUUUAUAGAAUGAACUUUCAUAUUUAUUUUGUGUCAGGUGAUAGGGAAUUAUAUCCUUUGUGUCCCUAGAAAUUGGUAAGAUUGAUGAAUGGAUUAUGCAGGCAUUCAGAAUUCAGUUCAGACCCUAUUAAUAAUGCAUUGUCUCCACUUACUUUAGCUUACCAUGAUUUCACGUCAUUUCUGAACAUCACCCACAAAGAAAUUUAAUUCAUUGAUUUAAUGGCACCAAAGUGAUUCUAGAGGGUAGGUGUUUGAUAGUUAACAUAUUUCAUGACUGGUAAUUGUUCUUACUGACUUACAGAAAUUAUCAAAAUAAUUUGUACUUUAGAGAUUAAAAUGCAACAUUUAAUUUUUAACGUAAGGAGUGAGCAACAUUUAAAGCCCGGAGUGGAGGACAAAAAACAUAAUGAGGAGAAAAAUUAAAAGAACAUAAUAAUGUUAUAACUGUUUCAACAGCAUUCUCUUUCUAAGGCUUAGCUACAGACAGCCAAGCAAAAAUAAAUCGCCUUAAUGUAGCCAAGUGAAUGUAAUCAAAUUUUCAAUUAAAAAAAAGGUAGGUGAAUUUAACUUGUUUUUGCCAAUUUCCAAUUCUUUCUAGGCAUGCUUCCUUUUUUUACGU
Molecule: long non-coding RNA, 3634 nt
Filed under: Sus scrofa (pig)
Lineage: Eukaryota; Metazoa; Chordata; Mammalia; Artiodactyla; Suidae
Description: lncRNA (ENSSSCG00000059434.1)
Source: RNAcentral